UGCAGUCGAGCGCCCCGCAAGGGGAGCGGCAGACGGGUGAGUAACGCGUGGGAACGUACCUUUUGCUACGGAAUAACUCAGGGAAACUUGUGCUAAUACCGUAUGUGCCCUUCGGGGGAAAGAUUUAUCGGCAAAGGAUCGGCCCGCGUUGGAUUAGCUAGUUGGUGAGGUAAAGGCUCACCAAGGCGACGAUCCAUAGCUGGUCUGAGAGGAUGAUCAGCCACACUGGGACUGAGACACGGCCCAGACUCCUACGGGAGGCAGCAGUGGGGAAUAUUGGACAAUGGGCGCAAGCCUGAUCCAGCCAUGCCGCGUGAGUGAUGAAGGCCCUAGGGUUGUAAAGCUCUUUCACCGGUGAAGAUAAUGACGGUAACCGGAGAAGAAGCCCCGGCUAACUUCGUGCCAGCCGCCCGCGGUAAAAAUCCCCUUCCCUCAAUAAAAAAGCGCCAC
This 450-nucleotide ribosomal RNA is filed under the name Alphaproteobacteria bacterium. RNAcentral describes it as "bacterial SSU rRNA". It matches the Rfam family "Bacterial small subunit ribosomal RNA", at positions 56 to 535 of the family's 1533-position model. The record is from RNAcentral. Lineage: Bacteria; Pseudomonadati; Pseudomonadota; Alphaproteobacteria.